RNAcentral lists this ribosomal RNA (1274 nucleotides) under Bacillus velezensis. RNAcentral describes it as "bacterial SSU rRNA". It matches the Rfam family "Bacterial small subunit ribosomal RNA", at positions 65 to 1322 of the family's 1533-position model. Lineage: Bacteria; Bacillati; Bacillota; Bacilli; Caryophanales; Bacillaceae. The record is from RNAcentral.
AGCGGACAGAUGGGAGCUUGCUCCCUGAUGUUAGCGGCGGACGGGUGAGUAACACGUGGGUAACCUGCCUGUAAGACUGGGAUAACUCCGGGAAACCGGGGCUAAUACCGGAUGGUUGUUUGAACCGCAUGGUUCAGACAUAAAAGGUGGCUUCGGCUACCACUUACAGAUGGACCCGCGGCGCAUUAGCUAGUUGGUGAGGUAACGGCUCACCAAGGCGACGAUGCGUAGCCGACCUGAGAGGGUGAUCGGCCACACUGGGACUGAGACACGGCCCAGACUCCUACGGGAGGCAGCAGUAGGGAAUCUUCCGCAAUGGACGAAAGUCUGACGGAGCAACGCCGCGUGAGUGAUGAAGGUUUUCGGAUCGUAAAGCUCUGUUGUUAGGGAAGAACAAGUGCCGUUCAAAUAGGGCGGCACCUUGACGGUACCUAACCAGAAAGCCACGGCUAACUACGUGCCAGCAGCCGCGGUAAUACGUAGGUGGCAAGCGUUGUCCGGAAUUAUUGGGCGUAAAGGGCUCGCAGGCGGUUUCUUAAGUCUGAUGUGAAAGCCCCCGGCUCAACCGGGGAGGGUCAUUGGAAACUGGGGAACUUGAGUGCAGAAGAGGAGAGUGGAAUUCCACGUGUAGCGGUGAAAUGCGUAGAGAUGUGGAGGAACACCAGUGGCGAAGGCGACUCUCUGGUCUGUAACUGACGCUGAGGAGCGAAAGCGUGGGGAGCGAACAGGAUUAGAUACCCUGGUAGUCCACGCCGUAAACGAUGAGUGCUAAGUGUUAGGGGGUUUCCGCCCCUUAGUGCUGCAGCUAACGCAUUAAGCACUCCGCCUGGGGAGUACGGUCGCAAGACUGAAACUCAAAGGAAUUGACGGGGGCCCGCACAAGCGGUGGAGCAUGUGGUUUAAUUCGAAGCAACGCGAAGAACCUUACCAGGUCUUGACAUCCUCUGACAAUCCUAGAGAUAGGACGUCCCCUUCGGGGGCAGAGUGACAGGUGGUGCAUGGUUGUCGUCAGCUCGUGUCGUGAGAUGUUGGGUUAAGUCCCGCAACGAGCGCAACCCUUGAUCUUAGUUGCCAGCAUUCAGUUGGGCACUCUAAGGUGACUGCCGGUGACAAACCGGAGGAAGGUGGGGAUGACGUCAAAUCAUCAUGCCCCUUAUGACCUGGGCUACACACGUGCUACAAUGGACAGAACAAAGGGCAGCGAAACCGCGAGGUUAAGCCAAUCCCACAAAUCUGUUCUCAGUUCGGAUCGCAGUCUGCAACUCGACUGCGUG